Molecule: ribosomal RNA, 445 nt
Filed under: uncultured bacterium
Lineage: Bacteria
Description: partial 16S ribosomal RNA
Rfam family: Bacterial small subunit ribosomal RNA
Source: RNAcentral
GUAGGGAAUAUUGGACAAUGGGCGAAAGCCUGAUCCAGCCAUGCCGCGUGAUAGAUGAAGGCCCUCUGGAUUGUAAAUAUCUUUUAUCUGGGAAGAAACUCCUCUAUUCUUAGAGGCCUGACGGUACCAGAGGAAUAAGCACCGGCUAACUCCGUGCCAGCAGCCGCGGUAAUACGGAGGGUGCAAGCGUUAUCCGGAUUCACUGGGUUUAAAGGGUGCGUAGGCGGGUUGAUAAGUCAGUGGUGAAAGCUCCGGGCUUAACUUGGAAACUGCCAUUGAUACUGUCAGUCUUGAAUGUCGUAGAGGUAAGCGGAAUGUUGCAUGUAGCGGUGAAAUGCUUAGAUAUGUUACAGAACACCAAUUGCGAAGGCAGCUUACUAUGCGAUAAUUGACGCUGAGGCACGAAAGCGUGGGGAGCAAACAGGAUUAGAAACCCCUGUAGUCC